GACAGAGGAGCCAAGCGUUGUCCGGAUUGACUGGGCGUAAAGCGCACGCAGGCGGGUGCGCGCGUGGGGUGUUAAACCUGGCCGCUUAACGGCCAGCGGCCAUCCCAUACGGCGCGCCUGGAGCCUUGCAGAGGGCGGUGGAAUUGCCGGUGUAGUGGUGAAAUGCGCAGAUAUCAGGAAGAACACCAAUGGCGAAAGCAGCUUUCUGGGACGGUACUGACGCUGAGACGCGAAAGCGUGGGGAGCGAACAGG
Molecule: ribosomal RNA, 253 nt
Filed under: uncultured bacterium
Lineage: Bacteria
Description: partial 16S ribosomal RNA
Rfam family: Bacterial small subunit ribosomal RNA
Source: RNAcentral